Cyprinus carpio (common carp) is the source of this 367-nucleotide long non-coding RNA. RefSeq lists it as uncharacterized. NCBI's taxonomy places the organism in Eukaryota, Metazoa, Chordata, Actinopteri, Cypriniformes, Cyprinidae. The transcript has 3 exons. The record is from RefSeq and is a predicted model, not a curated record.
GAGUCGGUGUAACAUUUCAGAGAGCAACAGAGCUCGAGGUGUUUUUAGGAGCCGUCAACUCCUCCCAUAUCCUCUGCUCACUCACUCAAAAGAAACUUUCUGCUCGCUCAUGUCACUAGCUAGUUACCUGAUCUCUUCUUCUGGGGUGUGGAAAAUCCACUCCACAGGCUGAUGUGUGGGCAGACACCUGUCAUCACAGUCAGACAGAGAGAAGUCUGUUUUGAUCCUCUGAUAAGCUCCGAACAUCUUCCAGAUCAAGAGUGGCUGAGACAACCUCCUACAAGUCGGAAGAAAUCUGACUGAUCAAUCACAGUCACUUGGGCGAGUUUCAAUAUUCAAGUAAGUGUGAAUUGGCACAUACUACAUC